RNAcentral lists this transfer RNA (84 nucleotides) under Tilletia horrida. RNAcentral's name for it is "tRNA-Gly". It matches the Rfam family "tRNA". Rfam says of the family: Transfer RNA (tRNA) molecules are approximately 80 nucleotides in length. Their secondary structure includes four short double-helical elements and three loops (D, anti-codon, and T loops). The record is from RNAcentral. Lineage: Eukaryota; Fungi; Basidiomycota; Exobasidiomycetes; Tilletiales; Tilletiaceae.
GCAUCAGUAGUUUAGUGGUAAAAUAGGUGUUUGCCAUCUGGAACAAACCUACACCUGCCGGGGGUUCGAUUCCCCCCUGAUGCA